AUCAAAAUGGAGUGCGACAAACUCGUCUCCAUUCACAUCCUUCAGAUACCGGAUAAAACCGCUCCGAACGCUGAUACUCUCUUCACCACAGACUUUCUGGGCAGUGACAAUCGCUGUACGAACGCUCGAUGGUAGCUGCUGCAGACGCUCGCUCGUCAGGUUCGACCAUCCGCCCUGCGGUGCGGAUGAACUAAAGGCACUGGCGUCGGUUGAUACCGCAACUAAUG
RNAcentral lists this unclassified non-coding RNA (227 nucleotides) under Hevea brasiliensis (rubber tree). Lineage: Eukaryota; Viridiplantae; Streptophyta; Magnoliopsida; Malpighiales; Euphorbiaceae. The record is from RNAcentral.